CCGUAACAACUGUAGGAUUCCCCAAAGUGUAAAAACAUCUCUAGUCUGAAACGCCUUCUCGUAUGUUUCAAGGUAAGCUCUGCCGCUCACUAUCACCAAUCUGAAAUUGGCUGUUGCUUUAGCUCUUUCUACCAUGUCUCUGGUGAUGCCCGUAUGGGCCCAUGGACGUAAAUCUUCGUGGAUCCACCGGAAGUAUUCUGGACAGCUCGGAGGUAAUGGACGGUCAGGAUCUUGUGAAAACGUUGUGGGGUAGUCUCUAGGGCAUGUUCGUGUGAGGUUGAGUGCGUUGCAGUUUAGUGGAAUUUCGAUAUUAUUUUGCGGCUUGGUUGUUUUUGCAGUGACUAUUGACUUCUGAGCCGAGCUGCCAGUAAUGUCACUGGACUGGAGGAGGCGCGUGAAGACAAACGCGCCGAGCAUCAGGAAGAGAAAGAAGACGAAGGCAGUGGAGGAUUGCACGACUGCCUGCAUAAAAAGCCGCCUGAUCAUCUCGGUGAAAUGGCCAAAAACCCCAGAUCCGUUCAACAAAAUCUAUGGUGCAUGUUCCUCUCUAUCUUCUCUGCGUUCUCCUUGUACCUCUACGAUAAUUUGCGACAGACUCGGGGGAUUUCUUCAAAUGGAUCUUCCUCCAGUUUAAAAAUGGAGAACUAGAUGAUUUCAUUGAAGGCCGUCGAGCUUUGAGUUUCUCAUUGGUGAUUUCGUAUUUACUUGGAAAAAGGGGAAUUUUUUAAACUGCAAAUUCAUGGCAAGCCAAGGUCCAACUGAGCAUCAAGAGACAAACGAAUGUGACAUGUGGGACAAUGUUAGAAGGUAACAUUAAUAUUUACAACUCAUCAAAAUUAGCUCUGCUUGAGCAGCAGAAAUGUGAACAGAGGAAAGUGGAAGAGCUUGAGAAUAGAAACAUUGAACCACAAAACUUGGAGGCAUGUUUUGCUCGGUAGAAAAUGGGCCAAAUGGCAGAUUUAGGUAGGUAACUAGGUACUUAGGCAACCUGCCUUGCCUAACCAUCCGUGUUCAGGACUCAGGAGGGUCCAG
This 1032-nucleotide unclassified non-coding RNA is filed under the name Hevea brasiliensis (rubber tree). The record is from RNAcentral. Lineage: Eukaryota; Viridiplantae; Streptophyta; Magnoliopsida; Malpighiales; Euphorbiaceae.